RNAcentral lists this long non-coding RNA (928 nucleotides) under Androctonus crassicauda. Lineage: Eukaryota; Metazoa; Arthropoda; Arachnida; Scorpiones; Buthidae. The record is from RNAcentral.
UCACCUGACGAACAAAGUCUACGUCAAAAAUGACGUCUAUGUCAAUCAUCUCUAAUCACGUGACAUUCUUGGAACAAUGGCUGACAUCAUCCGCGCUGAGAAAGAAUCCACUCUUAUUAUUGCGCGACAUUUAGCGCUACCUGAAUGAUGGUCGUCGCAUUGAAACUAUUAAAUUGUUCUUUAAGCGGGAAUGACCAAUAUCUAGCCUGAAAACCGAAAGAAAGUGUAUUUUUUCCCUCUGCGAACGGAAUAUCGGGAGCGGUCAGAGAUCGCUCCCGAUAUCCCGGAAUAAUGGAAAUAAGCAAGAUGAAAAUUAAUGCAGGAUUACUGUAAGCGAUAAAGCGACCUCUCUCAAAUUCGCUCAAAUGAUCAUACAUGUAUCAGAUACGUCGAAAUUUAACGUAAUGAUAUCGGGAGUGGUGAGAAGCCGCUCGCGGUUCCUUAGCGUUCUCUGACUGUUCCAAAUCGAUCGAUUCGAUGACAUUUCGAGUAUCCCUCAUGUGCGGAAUAAAAACACCUAUGCAAACAUUCGCUUAAUGCCGUGCUUUGAGCUAAACGUAUAUGUUGGCGUAAUUAAAUAGCUCGAAAUUUGGCGAACGCGGCAGAUAAAAACGCGACUGGCGUCACUAUGAAACGAGAUGCAAAGUCGAUCGGCAUGCGCAAUAAGUAUUUGCCGAAACAGCCGAGAAAUGCGUAUAUGCACCGUGAGAUCAGGCGCGCAGACAAACCAAAUACGAGUUCCGAAUCGUUAUCGCUAAAAAGAACGCAUGGCAUAGUCUGUAUAGAAGUGGCUUACGCACUGAAAGGACCCGAAGACAAAAAACACUUAAUACGCUAAAAAAAGAAGAAGACAGUAGGAUAAAGGUUAGAAGUGAGAAAACUCUUUAUAAGGGAAAAAAAUCAGGAAAGAGAAAUAAAUAUUUUGCUU